GAUGAACGCUGGCGGCGUGCCUAAUACAUGCAAGUCGAGCGAACAGACGAGGAGCUUGCUCCUCUGACGUUAGCGGCGUACGGGUGAGUAACACGUGGAUAACCUACCUAUAAGACUGGGAUAACUUCGGGAAACCGGAGCUAAUACCGGAUAAUAUAUUGAACCUCAUGGUUCAAUAGUGAAAGACGGUUUUGCUGUCACUUAUCGAUGUAUCCGCGCCGCAUUAUCUAGUUGGUAAGGUAACGGCUUACCAAGGCAACGAUGCGUAGCCGACCUGAGAGGGUGAUCGGCCACACUGGAACUGAGACACGGUCCAGACUCCUACGGGAGGCAGCAGUAGGGAAUCUUCCGCAAUGGGCGAAAGCCUGACGGAGCAAAGCCGCGUGAGUGAUGAAGGUCUUCGGAUCGUAAAACUCUGUUAUUAGGGAAGAACAAAUGUGUAAGUAACUAUGCACGUCUUGACGGUACCUAAUCAGAAAGCCACGGCUAACUACGUG
This 497-nucleotide ribosomal RNA is filed under the name uncultured bacterium. RNAcentral's name for it is "partial 16S ribosomal RNA". It matches the Rfam family "Bacterial small subunit ribosomal RNA", at positions 28 to 507 of the family's 1533-position model. The record is from RNAcentral.